CUAUGCGCCUUGCCAGCCCGCUCAGGUGUGCCAGCAGCCGCGGUAAUACGUAGGGGCGAGCGUUAUCCGGAAUGAUUGGGCGUAAAGGGUGCGCAGGCGGUCCUGCAAGUCUGGAGUGAAACGCAUGAGCUCAACUCAUGCAUGGCUUUGGAAACUGGAGGACUGGAGAGCAGGAGAGGGCGGUGGAACUCCAUGUGUAGCGGUAAAAUGCGUAGAUAUAUGGAAGAACACCAGUGGCGAAGGCGGCCGCCUGGCCUGUUGCUGACGCUGAGGCACGAAAGCGUGGGAGCAAAUAGG
RNAcentral lists this ribosomal RNA (297 nucleotides) under uncultured bacterium. RNAcentral describes it as "partial 16S ribosomal RNA". It matches the Rfam family "Bacterial small subunit ribosomal RNA", at positions 475 to 776 of the family's 1533-position model. The record is from RNAcentral.